UAUUUAAAAUUUAUUGUAAUGGGGUCUGC
RNAcentral lists this non-coding RNA (29 nucleotides) under Mus musculus (house mouse). Lineage: Eukaryota; Metazoa; Chordata; Mammalia; Rodentia; Muridae. The record is from RNAcentral.